Long non-coding RNA from Rhinopithecus roxellana (golden snub-nosed monkey), 745 nucleotides. RefSeq lists it as uncharacterized. The record is from RefSeq and is a predicted model, not a curated record. The transcript has 3 exons. NCBI's taxonomy places the organism in Eukaryota, Metazoa, Chordata, Mammalia, Primates, Cercopithecidae.
AAUUCAGGCUCAGGCUGCAACAUCAGCUUUUAUCUAUGUCUUCAGGCUGCUAACCAGCUCUACAACUUUGGACUUUACAGCCACCAGAAUUGUAGUUCACAGGGUGUGUGUUUCUGCCAAGUCACCUGUCCUAGGAACAGAGAGCUUCGGUUAAGUCUCAGGAGCCCAGGAGAAGACAAGGGGAUAAAGUGGGCAGCCAUGUAGAAGAAGCCAAGUGAAGAGCUAUAGGGACCUAGAAGACGGAGUCGUCACACAAUGGAAGAAUCCCAGAUCUCUGAGUCACCAUUUGGGCAAUAAUCUACCAGGACAGGUGCCUGAACAGGAACCCUGGACUUUGUGUGAGUGAGAAACAAACUUUUAUUGUGUUAAGCCACUGAGAUUUUGGGUUGGUUUUUAGAGCAGCUGGUGUUGCUUACACUGACUAAUACAUCUUGGAAGUAAAUGAUGCAAAACAAUUCUACUUAUUCACAGGGGGUGGUAUUUAUAAAGGAAAAGAAUAAUAGGGUGGUGUCAAUGUGGAGUCCUGAUAAGUAAGCAACAACAAGGAAGGGGCCCCACGUAGGGAAGAACAAUUGUUCUGAGAGACUGUUAAUCACAAACAACCUGCUAGCCCCACAUCCUGUUCCCAAAUACUUUGCUCAGUAUGUAGCCCCAGCAGCAUGAGUUUGUCUGCAUGUAGACCCUCCAGCAUGACCCUAUAAAAUUUCCCUCCAGCUACUGCCUCUUGGCAGAUAGUCCCUUCUCU